Molecule: ribosomal RNA, 446 nt
Filed under: uncultured bacterium
Lineage: Bacteria
Description: SSU rRNA
Rfam family: Bacterial small subunit ribosomal RNA
Source: RNAcentral
AGAGCGAACGCUGGCGGCAGGCCUAAUACAUGCAAGUCGAACGGAUCCUUCGGGGAUUAGUGGCGGACGGGUGAGUAACACGUGGGAACGUACCCUUUGGUUCGGAACAACUCAGGGAAACUUGAGCUAAUACCGAAUGUGCCCUUCGGGGAAAAGAUUUAUCGCCAUUGGAGCGGCCCGCGUCUGAUUAGCUAGUUGGUAGGGUAAAGGCCUACCAAGGCUACGAUCAGUAGCUGGUCUGAGAGGAUGAUCAGCCACACUGGGACUGAGACACGGCCCAGACUCCUACGGGAGGCAGCAGUAGGGAAUCUUGCGCAAUGGGCGAAAGCCUGACGCAGCCAUGCCGCGUGAAUGAUGAAGGUCUUAGGAUUGUAAAAUUCUUUCAGCGGGGACGAUAAUGACGGUACCCGCAGAAGAAGCCCGGCUAACUUCGCGCCAGCAGCCGC